GGUGGUGUAGCUCAGCUGGUAAAAGCGUCGUGCUAAUGGCGCUGAGGUCUUGCCAUGGAGGAUUCCAACCCCUCCUUGAUCA
Lyophyllum atratum is the source of this 82-nucleotide non-coding RNA. The record is from the annotation of a GenBank genome assembly. NCBI's taxonomy places the organism in Eukaryota, Fungi, Basidiomycota, Agaricomycetes, Agaricales, Lyophyllaceae.